GACGAACGCUGGCGGCGUGCUUAACACAUGCAAGUCGAACGGAAAGGCCCUGCUUUUGUUGGUUGCUCGAGUGGCGCACGGGUGAGUAACACGUGUGUAUCCUGCCCUUGUCUUUGGGAUAACUUCUGGAAACUGGGGCUCAUACCGGAUAGGAGCUCCUGCUGCAUGUUGUGGGUUGGAAAGUUUCGGCGGUUGGGGAUGGACUCGCGGGUUAUCAGCUUGUUGGUGGGGUAGUGGCUUACCAAGGGUUUGACGGAUAGCCGGCCUGAGAGGGUGACCGGCGACAUUGGGACUGAGAGACGGACCAGAAUCGUACGGGAGGCAGCAGUGGGAAAUAUUGCACAGUGGGCGGAAGCCUGAGGCAGAAACGCCGCGUGCGUGAUGACGGCCUUCGGGGUGUAAACAGCUGUGGAAGGUGACGAAGAGUGAGUGACGGUAAUGGGUAAGGAAGCAACGGCUAACUACGUG
Molecule: ribosomal RNA, 468 nt
Filed under: uncultured bacterium
Lineage: Bacteria
Description: partial 16S ribosomal RNA
Rfam family: Bacterial small subunit ribosomal RNA
Source: RNAcentral